This 466-nucleotide ribosomal RNA is filed under the name uncultured Defluviicoccus sp. RNAcentral's name for it is "bacterial SSU rRNA". It matches the Rfam family "Bacterial small subunit ribosomal RNA", at positions 920 to 1382 of the family's 1533-position model. The record is from RNAcentral. Lineage: Bacteria; Pseudomonadati; Pseudomonadota; Alphaproteobacteria; Rhodospirillales; Rhodospirillaceae.
CCCGCACAAGCGGUGGAGCAUGUGGUUUAAUUCGACGCAACGCGCAGAACCUUACCAGCCCUUGACAGUGGGGGUCGCGGAGACCAGAGAUGGACUCCAUCAGUUCGGCUGGACCCCACACAGGUGCUGCAUGGCUGUCGUCAGCUCGUGUCGUGAGAUGUUGGGUUAAGUCCCGCAACGAGCGCAACCCUCGUCUUCAGUUGCCAGCGGUUCGGCCGGGCACUCUGAAGAAACUGCCGGUGACAAGCCGGAGGAAGGUGGGGAUGACGUCAAGUCCUCAUGGCCCUUACGGGCUGGGCUACACACGUGCUACAAUGGCGGUGACAAUGGGAUGCAAUGGGGCGACCCUGAGCUAAUCUCAAAAAGCCGUCUCAGUUCGGAUUGUACUCUGCAACUCGAGUGCAUGAAGGUGGAAUCGCUAGUAAUCGCGGAUCAGAACGCCGCGGUGAAUACGUUCCCGGGCCUU